GCGCUAAGAUGGCGACUCCCAUGCAUCGGCUAAUAGCCCGGAGACAAGCGUAAAGAUGGGGUUUCAUCAUCGUGGCCAGGAUGGUCCUGAAUUCCUGACCUUGUGAUCCACCUGCCUUGGCCUCCCAAAGUGUUGGGAUUACAGGUGUGAGCCACCAUGCCUGGCCUAAGUGAAGCAAAUAAGCAACAUGUAAGAUGUCAGAAAUGCUUGGAAUUUGGACAUUGGACUUAUGAAUGCACAGGAAAAAGAAAAUACCUACAUAGGCCCUCAAGGACAGCAGAACUAAAGAAAGCUUUAAAAGAAAAAGAAAACAGAUUAUUAUUGCAACAAAGGAGCUUUUUUCCCCCUCGUGUUUAUCAGCAUUGGAGAAACCAAUGUAGAAAGAAAGGCCAAGAAAAAAAGGUCUAAGAGUGUAACCAGUUCCAGUAGCAGUAGCAGUGACAGUUCUGCCAGUGAUUCUUCAUCAGAGAGUGAAGAAACAUCUACCUCUUCCUCCUCAGAGGACAGUGACACUGAUGAAAGCUCCUCUAGUUCCUCAUCCUCAGCCU
RNAcentral lists this long non-coding RNA (548 nucleotides) under Homo sapiens (human). RNAcentral describes it as "non-protein coding lnc-AFF4-2:2". Lineage: Eukaryota; Metazoa; Chordata; Mammalia; Primates; Hominidae. The record is from RNAcentral.